UGGACAAUGGGCGCAAGCCUGAUCCAGCCAUGCCGCGUGAGUGAUGAAGGCCUUAGGGUUGUAAAGCUCUUUCGUCGGGGAAGAUAAUGACGGUACCCGCAGAAGAAGCCCCGGCUAACUUCGUGCCAGCAGCCGCGGUAAUACGAAGGGGGCUAGCGUUGUUCGGAAUUACUGGGCGUAAAGCGCGCGUAGGCGGAUCACUAAGUCAGGGGUGAAAUCCUGAGGCUCAACCUCGGAACUGCCUUUGAUACUGGUGACCUGGAGAUCGGGAGAGGUUGGUGGAAUUCCGA
This 290-nucleotide ribosomal RNA is filed under the name uncultured Afifella sp. RNAcentral describes it as "partial 16S ribosomal RNA". It matches the Rfam family "Bacterial small subunit ribosomal RNA", at positions 365 to 672 of the family's 1533-position model. The record is from RNAcentral. Lineage: Bacteria; Pseudomonadati; Pseudomonadota; Alphaproteobacteria; Hyphomicrobiales; Afifellaceae.